This 77-nucleotide transfer RNA is filed under the name Colacium mucronatum. RNAcentral's name for it is "tRNA-Lys". The record is from RNAcentral. Lineage: Eukaryota; Euglenozoa; Euglenophyceae; Euglenales; Euglenaceae.
UACAGUUUAGUUUAAAAGAAAGAACAGCUUUAUUAUUACAAAUAAAGAUGGUUUUGGUUUGAAUCCAAAAAUUUCUG